Molecule: ribosomal RNA, 1458 nt
Filed under: Burkholderia sp.
Lineage: Bacteria; Pseudomonadati; Pseudomonadota; Betaproteobacteria; Burkholderiales; Burkholderiaceae
Description: bacterial SSU rRNA
Rfam family: Bacterial small subunit ribosomal RNA
Source: RNAcentral
UGGCUGCUUAACAUGCAGUCGAACGGCAGCACGGGUGACUUGCACCUGGUGGCGAGUGGCGAACGGGUGAGUAAUACAUCGGAACAUGUCCUGUAGUGGGGGAUAGCCCGGCGAAAGCCGGAUUAAUACCGCAUACGAUCUACGGAUGAAAGCGGGGGACCUUCGGGCCUCGCGCUAUAGGGUUGGCCGAUGGCUGAUUAGCUAGUUGGUGGGGUAAAGGCCUACCAAGGCGACGAUCAGUAGCUGGUCUGAGAGGACGACCAGCCACACUGGGACUGAGACACGGCCCAGACUCCUACGGGAGGCAGCAGUGGGGAAUUUUGGACAAUGGGCGAAAGCCUGAUCCAGCAAUGCCGCGUGUGUGAAGAAGGCCUUCGGGUUGUAAAGCACUUUUGUCCGGAAAGAAAUCCUUGGCUCUAAUACAGUCGGGGGAUGACGGUACCGGAAGAAUAAGCACCGGCUAACUACGUGCCAGCAGCCGCGGUAAUACGUAGGGUGCAAGCGUUAAUCGGAAUUACUGGGCGUAAAGCGUGCGCAGGCGGUUUGCUAAGACCGAUGUGAAAUCCCCGGGCUCAACCUGGGAACUGCAUUGGUGACUGGCAGGCUAGAGUAUGGCAGAGGGGGGUAGAAUUCCACGUGUAGCAGUGAAAUGCGUAGAGAUGUGGAGGAAUACCGAUGGCGAAGGCAGCCCCCUGGGCCAAUACUGACGCUCAUGCACGAAAGCGUGGGGAGCAAACAGGAUUAGAUACCCUGGUAGUCCACGCCCUAAACGAUGUCAACUAGUUGUUGGGGAUUCAUUUCCUUAGUAACGUAGCUAACGCGUGAAGUUGACCGCCUGGGGAGUACGGUCGCAAGAUUAAAACUCAAAGGAAUUGACGGGGACCCGCACAAGCGGUGGAUGAUGUGGAUUAAUUCGAUGCAACGCGAAAAACCUUACCUACCCUUGACAUGGUCGGAAUCCUGCUGASAAGUGGGAGUGCUCGAAAGAGAACCGGCGCACAGGUGCUGCAUGGCUGUCGUCAGCUCGUGUCCUGAGAAGUUGGGUUAAGUCCCGCAUCGAGCGCAACCCUUGUCCUUAGUUGCUACGCAAGACCACUCUAAGGAGACUGCCGGUGACAAACCGGAGGAACGUCGGGAUGACGUCAAGUCCUCAUGGCCCUUUUGGGAAGGGCUUCACACGUCAUACAAUGGUCGGAACAGAGGGUUCCCAACCCGCCAGGGGGAGCUAUUCCGAGAAAACCGAUCGUAGACCCCAAUCCACUCUGCAACUCGAGUCCAUCAAGCUGGAAACGCUAGAAAUCGCGGAUCAGCAUGCCGCGGUGAAAACGUUCCCGGGUCUUGUACACACCGCCCCUCACACCAUCGGAGUGGGUUUUACCAGAAGUGGCUACUCUAACCCCAACGAGGACGGUCACCACGGUAGGAUUCAUGACUGGGCCAAGUCGAACAACGAGGCCA